This 401-nucleotide ribosomal RNA is filed under the name uncultured bacterium. Its description in RNAcentral is "bacterial SSU rRNA". It matches the Rfam family "Bacterial small subunit ribosomal RNA", at positions 29 to 422 of the family's 1533-position model. The record is from RNAcentral.
AGUGAACGCUGGCGGCGUGCUUAACACAUGCAAGUCGAACGAGAACGGAUUUUAGCUUGCUAAAAUUGUCAGCUAAGUGGCGCACGGGUGAGUAAUAUAUAGGUAACGUGCCCUAGAGAGGGGAUAACAUUUGGAAACGAAUGCUAACACCCCAUAUGCCUUUAACACAUAAGUGUGCAAGGGAAAUAUUUAUAGCUCUAGGAUCGGCCUGUACGGUAUCAGUUAGUUGGUGAGGUAAUGGCUCACCAAGACAAUGACGCCUAACUGGUUUGAGAGGAUGAUCAGUCACACUGGAACUGAGACACGGUCCAGACUCCUACGGGAGGCAGCAGUGGGGAAUAUUGCACAAUGGGGGAAACCCUGAUGCAGCAACGCCGCGUGGAGGAUGACACAUUUUCGGU